RNAcentral lists this transfer RNA (73 nucleotides) under Camelus bactrianus (Bactrian camel). It matches the Rfam family "tRNA". Rfam says of the family: Transfer RNA (tRNA) molecules are approximately 80 nucleotides in length. Lineage: Eukaryota; Metazoa; Chordata; Mammalia; Artiodactyla; Camelidae. The record is from Rfam by way of RNAcentral. RNAcentral also lists the same sequence under 1 other name.
GAGGGUAUGGUUCAAGUGGUAGAGCACGUGCUUAGCGUGCAUGAGGUCCAGGGUUCAAUUCCCAGUACAUCUG